This 351-nucleotide transfer-messenger RNA is filed under the name Candidatus Yanofskybacteria bacterium RIFCSPHIGHO2_02_FULL_50_12. It matches the Rfam family "transfer-messenger RNA". Rfam says of the family: Bacterial tmRNA, also known as 10Sa RNA or SsrA, is named for its dual tRNA and mRNA-like properties. Its role is to liberate the mRNA from a stalled ribosome. Lineage: Bacteria; Candidatus Yanofskyibacteriota. RNAcentral also lists the same sequence under 1 other name. The record is from RNAcentral.
GGGGAUGUUCGUUUCGACAGGAUUUUGCCCCAAAUUGACGCUAAGAGUGGAUGGUAGUCACCACUAUAAUCAUCAACCAAUCAUAUAACUGGCAACACUGCCAAUUACGCGUUCGCCUAACAUCGUUUAGGUACGCCAUCCCACUGCGAUGCUCGCUGGCAGAUUCUGGGGUGUUAUUAGCGAGCUCUGGCGGAACCGUGGUCUUUCCGAAUUCCGUCGAACUCUAGUAAAGACUAGCCAUGCAUUAUUUUGUCGGUUCUCUACUGCAUAGCGAACUACCAAACCGACUAUCUUAGUAGAAAUCAUUUGGUAAAAAUCUUGGACGGCGGUUCAAUCCGCCCAUCUCCACCA